This 1385-nucleotide long non-coding RNA is filed under the name Pogona vitticeps (central bearded dragon). RNAcentral's name for it is "lncRNA (ENSPVIG00000017327.1)". The record is from RNAcentral. Lineage: Eukaryota; Metazoa; Chordata; Lepidosauria; Squamata; Agamidae.
GUGUGUUCUGUUGGCAUUACAGUUUAACAGUUAUGGAGUCAGAAGUUAGAGUCUGAGUGAUGAGUUUGUCAAAGAAUGAUGUUAAGCAGCUAAAAUGUCAUCCUAUGUAACAAGUAAAUAUGUUUGUUUGUUAUUCUGAUAUAUAUGGACAUUUGUGAGUAAAAGUGAAAUAUUUUUUAUUCUUAAUACCAGAGUCUCUGACUGAAUCUAUUGAGACUUUAUUACUAGUUGAGGUAAACCUAGCUAAAAAUAACCAAACAACAAGGAGUUGUAUAUUUGAGGGAGAGUUGCAGUUAUUAUAAUCUGCUCUGUAGGUCCCUGUCUGGAUUUUUCUCCACUGGAGAAAAAUUAGCUGGAGAUUUUAAACCAGCAAUGACUACACUCUACCUUUUCUUAUUUUCCAGGUGUAGAAAAGCUGCUUAGCAAUAAAGACUAUUCAGUGAGCAGAGUUCAUUUUCAGACAGAGAUCAUCCUUGAGAAGGCCUUCUCUCUCCAUUCCAGGAAUAAGAUCCCCUUCUCAGAUACUGGAAAUACUGACUAGCUGUACUAGAGCAAAAAAAAGGGUUACACAUGUUAACCCUAAGUGCUCACUGGAAGGACAAAUCCUGAAGCUGAGGCUCCAAUACUUUGGCCAUUUCCUGAGAAGAGAAGACUCCCUGGAAAAGACCCUGAUGCUGGGAAAGUGUGAGGACAAGAGGGAGACGACAGAGGACAAGAUGGUUGGACAGUGUCACCGAAGCUGCCAACAUGAAUUUGACCCAACUCUGGGAGGCAGUGGAAGACAGGAGGGCCUGCCAUGCUCUGGUCCAUGGGGUCACGAAAAGUUAGACACAACAAGUAGAGUCAACAAAAUGUUAUUUCCUAAGUAUAUAGAAAAUAUUUGUUGAGCCUUCACUUUUGCCCAGUGUGGGAACAGAGGGAGAUGUUUUUAGUGUUGGCCUCAGUGACUGAGCCACCAUGUAUCUAUAUUGAUGCUACUCAACUCUGCUUUUCAGAAGUUAGUCAACUCUCUUGGUUGCCUCAAGGAGAGGGCUUAGGAGCAAAUCAGAGAGAGAACCUCUUCCUUCUGGUCCACUCCUGGGCCACACAUUAGGAUGAUGAAUCAAGCUUUAGCAUUAUCACGACUGUCCUUUUUAAUUGCUGUGGUCAAAACCGUAGUAUGGAAUAUGUUAGUUGCCAAUUAUGGGGCUAGGAAGGAAUUUUACCCACUUUUACCACUGAAGCAAAGUUUUGCCUUUCACAGCAAUAUUCACGCUAUUAUUGUUUUUUACUUUCCUUGUUUUUAUUGACCUGUCCAGAAAAAAGUGAUAUAAAUAUGUUAAACAACCAUUUCUGCUUCACCUGAGUUUUGUUCAUGUUCUCUUGGAAGCUGUUCCAUUCUGUUU